RNAcentral lists this ribosomal RNA (497 nucleotides) under uncultured bacterium. Its description in RNAcentral is "partial 16S ribosomal RNA". It matches the Rfam family "Bacterial small subunit ribosomal RNA", at positions 28 to 507 of the family's 1533-position model. The record is from RNAcentral.
GAUGAACGCUGGCGGCGUGCCUAAUACAUGCAAGUCGAGCGAACAGACGAGGAGCUUGCUCCUCGGACGUUAGCGGCGGACGGGUGAGUAACACGUGUAUAACCUACCUAUAAGACUGGGAUAACUUCGGGAAACCGGAGCUAAUACCGGAUAAUAUAUUGAACCGCAUGGUUCAAUAGUAAAAGACGGUGUUGCUGUCACUUAUAGAUGGAUCCGCGCCGCAUUAGCUAGUUGGUGAGGUAACGGCUUACCAAGGCAACGAUGCGUAGCCGACCUGAGUGGGUGAUCGGCCACACUGGAGCUGAGCCGCGGUCCAGACUCCUACGGGAGGCAGCAGUAUGGAAUCUUCCGCAAUGGGCGAAAGCUUGACGGAGCAACGCCGCGUGAGUGAUGAAGGUCUUCCGAUCGUAAAACUCUGUUAUGAGGGAAGAACAAAUGUGUAAGUAACUAUGCACGUCUUGACGGUACCUAAUCAGAAAGCCACGGCUAACUACGUG